AUGAACGCUGGCGGCGUGCCUAAUACAUGCAAGUCGAGCGAACAGACGAGGAGCUUGCUCCUCUGACGUUAGCGGCGGACGGGUGAGUAACACGUGGAUAACCUACCUAUAAGACUGGGAUAACUUCGGGAAACCGGAGCUAAUACCGGAUAAUAUAUUGAACCGCAUGGUUCAAUAGUGAAAGACGGUUUUGCUGUCACUUAUAGAUGGAUCCGCGCCGCAUUAGCUAGUUGGUAAGGUAACGGCUUACCAAGGCGACGAUGCGUAGCUGACCUGAGAGGGUGAUCGGCCACACUGGAACUGAGACACGGUCCAGACUCCUACGGGAGGCAGCAGUAGGGAAUCUUCCGCAAAGGGCGAAAGCCUGACGGAGCAACGCCGCGUGAGUGAUGAAGGUCUUCGGAUCGUAAAACUCUGUUAUUAGGGAAGAACAAAUGUGUAAGUAACUAUGCACGUCUUGACGGUACCUAAUCAGAAAGCCACGGCUAACUACGUG
RNAcentral lists this ribosomal RNA (496 nucleotides) under uncultured bacterium. Its description in RNAcentral is "partial 16S ribosomal RNA". It matches the Rfam family "Bacterial small subunit ribosomal RNA", at positions 29 to 507 of the family's 1533-position model. The record is from RNAcentral.